Molecule: non-coding RNA, 939 nt
Filed under: Octodontomys gliroides
Lineage: Eukaryota; Metazoa; Chordata; Mammalia; Rodentia; Ctenomyidae
Description: partial 12S ribosomal RNA
Rfam family: Bacterial small subunit ribosomal RNA
Source: RNAcentral
UGGCCUUUUUAUUAGUUGUUAGUAAAAUUAUACAUGCAAGAAUCAUCAAACCUGUGAGAAUGCCCUCCAAAUCAUAUCAUGAUUCAGAGGAGCCGGUAUCAAGCACACUAUUGUAGCUCAUAACACCUUGCUUAGCCACACCCCCACGGGAUACAGCAGUGAUUAAAAUUAAGCAAUAAACGAAAGUUUGACUAAGUUAUACAACAGUUUAGGGUUGGUAAAUCUCGUGCCAGCCACCGCGGUCAUACGAUUAACCCUAAUUAAUAAACCUUUUCGGCGUAAAGAGUGUUAAAAACAAAACUAAAAUAAGAUUAAAAUUUACCUAAGUCGUAGAAAAUUACAGGUAAAAAAUAAACCCAAAUACGAAAGUUAUCUUAAUAAACCUGAAUACACUAAAGCUAAGAUCCAAACUGGGAUUAGAUACCCCACUAUGCUUAGCCAUAAACAUAAACAUUUAACAACAAAAAUGUUCGCCAGAGAACUACUAGCAAUAGCUUAAAACUCAAAGGACUUGGCGGUGCUUUAAACCCACCUAGAGGAGCCUGUUCUAUAAUCGAUAAACCCCGAUAAACCUCACCACUUCUCGCUAAUUCAGCCUAUAUACCGCCAUCUUCAGCAAACCCUAAUAAGGAGAAAAAGUAAGCACAAAUAUUUACAUAAAAACGUUAGGUCAAGGUGUAGCCAAUGAAGUGGCAAGAAAUGGGCUACAUUUUCUUUCACCUAAGAAAACAACAGUAAUUCUUAUGAAACUUAAGAAUUUAAGGAGGAUUUAGCAGUAAAUUAAGAAUAGAGAGCUUAAUUGAACUAGGCCAUGAAGCACGCACACACCGCCCGUCACCCUCCUCAAAUAUCUACUCAAAUUUAUACCUGAAUUAUAACCAAUAUAAGAGGAGACAAGUCGUAACAAGGUAAGCAUACUGGAAAGUGUGCUUGGAUAAA